This 3097-nucleotide ribosomal RNA is filed under the name Musa schizocarpa. RNAcentral's name for it is "bacterial LSU rRNA". It matches the Rfam family "Eukaryotic large subunit ribosomal RNA", at positions 392 to 3401 of the family's 3401-position model. Lineage: Eukaryota; Viridiplantae; Streptophyta; Magnoliopsida; Zingiberales; Musaceae. The record is from RNAcentral.
AAGUUCAAAACUGCGUUUAGGCGUAAAAAUUACUCUUUGAAAAAAAGCGUUUAGAGCGUAAAACAGCGUUUAGGCGGAAAAACUGCGUUUUAGAGCGUAAAAUAAGCGUUUAGGCAUAAAACUACGCUUAGGCGAUAAAACUGCGUUUAGGCGAUAAAACUGCGUUUAGGCAUAAAACUGCGUUUAGGCGUAAAACUGCAUUUAGGCGUAAAUCGGCUUUCCUCGUUUUAAUCAUCAGAUUUCAGUUUCGUUUACAUCUUGAUUUCAACUGCAUACUGCGUCUCGCGAUUUUACAAACGAAGUUUCAAAGUCUGCGUUUAGGCGGCAAAUCUGCGUUUAGACGUAAAUCUGCGUUUUUGCAGAUUACUUUUGACUGUACAAUAAAGUGCACACUGUCUUUAUACUUCUGUCUAAACAAGUGAUUUCAUUUCGACAUUAGACGUAAAUCUGUUUCUUCGAUGCGAACAUCGGAUUUCAGUUUUAUGCCAAUAUUCUGGUUUCAUCAUUGCUGCAAACUGCCUGCAUAGAUUGAUUGAAACCUUGCUUAGUAUCAACUCUCAUACAGAGUUGUCCUUAUCAUUCAAACGCAGCUUUUAGGUUUUAAUGUAAAAGUUUUCCGCUGCACUAAUUCACCCCCUCUUAGUGCUCGAUCCUAACCGGUCAUAUGCUUGUCUCAAAGAUUAAGCCAUGCUUGUGUAAGUAUGAACUAUUUGGACUGUGAAACUGCGAAUGGCUCAUUAAAUCAUUUUAUAGUUUGUUUGAUGAAUGCGUUACUUUCGGAUAACCGUGGUAAUUCUAUUAUCGUUUUAACAAACCCCGACUUCGGAAGGGAUGCAUUUAUUAGAUAAAGGCUGAUUGAACCAUCUAGUACUUUUCCCUCCUAAAUUUUCCCUCGGGAUAGCUGGAGCCCACGUCGCGAGUUCUAUCGGUAAAGCCAAUGAUUAGAGGUAUCGGGCGCCCAACACCCUCGACCUAUUCUCAAACUUUAAAUAGGUAGGGGCGGCUAUGCCGUUGAGCGCGUCAUCGAAUCGAAAACUCCAAGUGGGCCAUUUUGGUAAGCAGGCGGCAAUGCGGGAUGAAUGGCGAAGGCCCGUUUGAUUGCCCAACUGCGCCUAACCCGCAGACACCACAAAGUGUUGGUCGAUUAAGACAACAGGGCGGUGGUCAUGGAAGUCGAAAUCCGCUAAGGAGUGUGUAACAACUCACCUACGAAUCAACUAGCCCCGAAAAUGGAUGGCGCUGGGUUGCGACCACACACCGACCAUCGGGGCGGCGCCAAGCCCCGAUUAGUAGGAGGGGCGGUUGCCGCCAAAACCAGAGGAAGCCGAGCUUCGGCGGGCGGCCCGUCGGUGCAGAAUCUUGGUGGUAGUAGCAAAUAUUCAAAUGAGAACUUUGAAGGCGAAGAGGGAAAGGUUCCAUGUGAGCGGCAUUUGCACAUGGGUUAGCCGAUCCUAAGGGGCGAGGGAUGCCCGUCCAGGCGUGUCUCCAGCGUGAGCUCGAAGGAAUCGGGUUAAAAUUCCCGCGGCAGACGCGGCGGCAGAUGGCUGUUAGGAAGUCCGAGCGUCGGCCGGGGCUCCGGGAAGAGUUAUCUUUUUCUGCUUAAUGGCCAGCCCACCUAAAACAACUCAGCCCGGUAGGGUCCAGCGGUCGAAAAGCCCGCCGCGUCGCUGGCGUCCGGUCGCCCGUUGAAAAUACAGGAGGACCCGAGUGCCGCCCGGUGCCGGUCAUACUCAUAACCGCAUCAGGUCUCCAAGGUGAACAGCCUCUGGCCCAUGGAACAAUGUAGGCAAGGGAAGUCGGCAAAAGCGGAUCCGUAACCGGAAAAGGAUUGGCUCGAGGGGCUGGGCGCGGGUCCCGCCCCGAACCAUUCGGCUGUUGGUGGACUGCUUUCGAGCUGCUCUGGGCGAGGCCCGGUCACCAGCGAUGCUGGCGGGAGGCAGCGAGAAUAGCCUCGGGGGCCUUCCCGUGUCAAACAGCUGACUCAGAACUGUUACGGACAAGGGGAAUCGACUGUUUUAAUUAAAACAAAGCAUUGCGAUGGUCCCAUGGAUGCUCAUGCAAUGUGAUUUCUGCCCGCUUUCUGAAUGUCAAAGUGAAGAAAUUCAACCAAAAGCGGGUAAAUGGCGGGAGUAACUAUGACUCUCUUAAAGUAGCCAAAUGCCUCGUCAUCUAAUUAGUGGCCCGCGCAUGAAUGGAUUAACGAGAUUCCCUUUGUCCCCUCUACUAUCUGGCGAAACCACAGCCAAAGGAACGGGCUUGGCGAGAAUCAGCGGGGAAAGAAGACCCUGUUGAGCUUGACUCUAGUCUGACUUUGUGAAAUGACUUGAGAGGUGUAGGAUAAGGGGGAGUUCGGUUCAAGCGGCGGAAGUGAAAUACCACUACUUUUAACGUUAUUUUACUUAUUCCGUGAGUGGGAGGGUCCGGCCCCUCCUUUUGGAUCAAAGGCCAGCCCUAGCGGGCCGAUCCGGCGAAGACAUUGUCGGGUGGGGAGUUUGGCUGGGGUGGCACAUAUGUUAAAAGAUAGCGCAGGUGUCCUAAGAUGAGCUCAAUGAGAACAGAAAUCUGGUGUGGAACAAAAGGGUAAAAGCUCAUUUGAUUCUGAUUUCGGUCGAAUAUGAACCGUGAAAGUGGCCUAUCGAUCCUUUUGACCUUGGAAUUUGAAGCAAGAGGUGUCGAAAAGUUACCCCAGGGAUAACUUGCUUGUGGCAGCCAAAGCGUUCAUAAGCGGCGUUGCUUUUGAUCCUUCGAUGUCGGCUCUUCCUAUCAUUGUGAAGUAGAAUUCACCAAGUGUUGGAUUGUUCACCCACCAAUAGGGGCGUGAGGCUGGUUUUUAGCCCGUCAUGAGACAGGUUAGUUUUACCUACUAAUGAUGGGUGUCGCGAUAAGUAAUUCAACCUAGUAUGAGGAACCGUUGAUUCACACAAUUGGUCAUCGGCGCUUGGUUGAAAAGCCAGAUGGCGAAGCUACCGUGUGUGUCGGAUUAUGACCGAACGCCUCUAAGUCCGAAUCCUAGCUAGCAACCGGCGCUCUCGCCCGUCGUUCACCUCCGACCCACAGUAGGGGCCUUUGGCCCCAUGGGCUCGAUGUCGCCCGGUGU